Thalassophryne amazonica is the source of this 93-nucleotide long non-coding RNA. RefSeq lists it as uncharacterized. The record is from RefSeq and is a predicted model, not a curated record. NCBI's taxonomy places the organism in Eukaryota, Metazoa, Chordata, Actinopteri, Batrachoidiformes, Batrachoididae. The transcript has 3 exons.
UGAUUUGUUUUAAAGAAAGCUUGAGGUCAAUCUUCAUUGACAUUCCAAGUUUAGUCAAAAUCAGCAAAAGGACCUGGGAGGAGCAGGCCAACA